ACCCACUCCCCACAGCCCAUGGCAUCUGGCUGUACAUGGAAGUGAGGAAGCUGCUGUCUCCCCCCAUAGAACGUUGCUCCCAGUCAGGGCUCACCCCCUGUGGGGCAGGGCUCACAGGCUCCUGGUUCAGAGACCAGGGCCCUUGUCAAUUGCAGCGUGAACAGCAGGGUACUUUGCCCCUGAGUCCCACAGCAGGGGUGGGGACCUUGUCAUGGUGGGCCCAGGUGACAACACAGGGCCAGCGAUUCUUCACCCGGCAGCCAACACGGCGGCAGAUGACAAACAUUGCAGCCCUUGGCAAACAAAAAGCACGCAGCAAACAGUGUGGCCAGUACAGAGACCCUCCCCUCCCCGGGGACCAGGCAGGGCAAGGUCGUCCCCCGAGAUGGCCUGCACCCACCGGGCCGCCUGUGUGACCAGCCACAGAACUCACUCAGCAUUGGCACCCACAGCCGGGACAGGCAGGGUGCUGGGCCCGUGGUUUCCUGCAUCUGCUGAUACCACCCAAGGCUGCCAGGCCAUAACAUGAAGUCAUCUGUGCCAGGAAAUCCUGAGCCUCGCCCACACCUGGCCCUGGGCCGUCCCUGCAUGCCAAGGGGUUGUGGGACCUCGCAGGCCUGCAGGCAGGGGGGUGGGCGCUGGGCUGGGGUCCGAGUGUGCCCCUGCUCUAGGGCAUGGCCGGCAGGUGGGGACAGGGAAAAGGAAGGAGCAGGAUUCCUGCCUGGCUAUGGCAGUCUUACCCCACGGAAUCCAGGCUCCAACUGACCUCACCAUUGUGCGGGUUAAUUUUGAUUCUUAAAACCUUCAUCUAAAGACCUUUGCUUCCUGUAACACAGGCCUGGGUUUUCCCAAAAGUCGUGGGGACCUGGCCCGGCACGUGCUGCUCAGUGCGGGGACCUCACAGCCUGUUCUAUGUGAGCCGGACAGGAAAGGCUCCACGGGCAAACUCACUCUCCGUGACAAUCAGGAGGUUUCUGCUCCAGCCACAAGAAGGAGCUGGGGGAGCUCCUGAGGCCAGGAAGAGAACAGCCCUAAUCCCAUCCUUUCCCUCCUCAGCAGGGACCCCAGGGUCUGCUGUCCUGCCCCAACCCACACUUCAAAGAAGGAAGGACACCUGCCUGCCCCUGCUGCCUCACACCCCGAAGCAUGCCACAGCCCCGAAUGCAGGUCUAGCCACAGAAGCGCUGGAGAGUGGAGGCUGAGAGUGGCGCUGGUUGAAGAUUUCUCACAGGAAACACAAGGCACGGCCUCCACGUGGCUCGAGGCCGUGAGAACCCUCGACUCAAACCAUUGCACAUGGUGAGGAGGACGCGGGUCAGCCGCCCGAGCUGCAUGAUGAUGAUGCUGUCAGGGAAAGCGUCGGUGCCUAUGUGGGAAAAUAGGGGAACGAGAAACAAACGCGAAGCGUGUGGCUCUCGGCUCUGCUGCCCUGGAGGCCGUGGCUCAUCUUUUCACCAUGGACGCUUUUCAUUUUUGUACCUUUCUGGAAGGGCUGGAUACAGAGUCUGCGGGCCUGCGAUGGAGGCGCCACCGUCUCACCAGGAGUCCACGGCCCUCGGUCUCUGUGCUCCCUGAACCUAAGGUGAGGAACCCAUGCCUUGUGGUUGACGAGGGCUGCUGGGGCACCUGCCCUCUCAUCUGCAUCCUGGAAGGCAGGAAGGAGCACAGAGGAAAACACAAGCCUGCUCUGGCCAGCUCAGUGUGCGCCUUCCAGAAACAGGUAAACAUGAAAUUACCCUGUGAAGCCGCCAUUCCGUUCCUAGAUCUAUCCCCAAAAGAAAUCCAAGCAGAGACUCAAACACUUGCACAGCCCUUGCCACGGCCCGGAUGUACUUAGUGCCUCUGUUCCCAGCAAAACUCUUGUUGAAACAGGACCCCCAGUGUGGCAGCGCAGGGAGAUGGGUCCUGAGGGGAGGGAGACGUGCAGGUCGUGGGAGUGACUCCCUGGGGAGUGCCUGGUGCUGGGAGUGACUCUCCUCUUGUGAUACGGGGUGAGUUCCCAUGGGAAUGGAUUUGUUCCCAUGAGCGGGGCUUGUUCUGAAGCCAACACAUCCCUGGGCUUUAUCUCUCUUCCCAUGUCUGCUUCCCCUUUGACCUCCGCCAGCAGAAGCAGAAGGGCCAUGCCAUUGAACUUCUCAGCUGACAGAACCGUGAGCUUUAUGAAUUACCCCAUCUCAGAGGUUGUUUUAUGGCCACACAGAAUGGACUCAGACCCCCGUGCUCAUAGCCGUGUAGUCACAAUAGCCCAAAGGUGGAAACAGCCAGCAGGUGAGGGGAUGUGGAACGGGGCAGACACACACAUCGGGGUCUCACCGAGCCUGGAAAAGGAGUGUGCUCUGACGCAAGCAGCAACACACCAACCUUCACAACCUCAUGCCCAGUGAAGCCAGCCGGUCCCAAUAGGACCAACGCGGUGACCCCACAGAGGGAAGGCCCCCAGAGGAGUCAGAGUCAAGAGAAGGACGACCCAAUGGUGGUCAGCAGUGCCCGGGGGAGGGGCCGAUGGGAGUGAGUGAUUAGUCAGGACGGAGCUCCAGUUUCGCCCGAUGAAAACGUGCUGGAGCUGCAUGGUGGUGACAGCGGCAUAGCCGUGGGCAUGUUCUCAAUGCCACGGUUCUGUGCACUUCCCAUGGCGAUGAUGGGAAAUCUCAUGUACCCGCAUUUGACUACAGAGAGGAAGGAAGGAAGGGA
Macaca mulatta (Rhesus monkey) is the source of this 2691-nucleotide non-coding RNA. The record is from RefSeq and is a predicted model, not a curated record. NCBI's taxonomy places the organism in Eukaryota, Metazoa, Chordata, Mammalia, Primates, Cercopithecidae.